This 325-nucleotide ribosomal RNA is filed under the name uncultured eukaryote. RNAcentral's name for it is "partial 18S ribosomal RNA". It matches the Rfam family "Eukaryotic small subunit ribosomal RNA", at positions 1470 to 1797 of the family's 1831-position model. The record is from RNAcentral.
CCCUUAGAUGCUCUGGGCCGCACGCGCGCUACACUGGUCGAUGCAACGAGUUUCUUUCCUUGGCCGACAGGCCUGGGCAAUCUUUGAACAUCGAUCGUGAUCGGGAUAGAUUCUUGUAAUUUUUGAUCUUAAACGAGGAAUUCCUAGUAAACGCAAGUCAUCAGCUUGCAUUGAUUACGUCCCUGCCCUUUGUACACACCGCCCGUCGCACCUACCGAUUGAAUGGUCCGGUGAAAUCUCCGGACUGGCGUGAGUCGGAGCAACCUGACAAACGCCGGAAAGUUGAUUAAACCUUACCAUUUAGAGGAAGGUGAAGUCGUANCAA